AAAUACCACAUGUGCGUAAGUACCAUGCUCGUUCACAUUCAUGGUCAUUAGCAUUCGGAAACGCCUCCAAUUAACCAUAUAUGGUGACAACACUUCCCUUUAAAAAUUACGUGAUUGUGUUUUUUCCUCACUGCAAUAAUGGCAAAGAGAGCAAAGAAGAGUAACUUCACAAACACAGAAUUAGAGAUACUUGUAAAUGAAGUUGAAUCCAACCAACAGAUAUUGUUUAGUUCAUUCACUGCAGGAGGAAUUACAAAUAAAAGAAAAAAUGCUGCAUGGGAGAAUGUCACCAAUGCAGUUAAUUCCGUUGGGUCUGAGGAGAGAACUGUCCCAGAAAUAAAAAAAAAAUGGUUUGAUAUUAAAGUAUUGGCUAAAAAACGUGUCACAGCACACAGACGAGAAAUGUCCGCAACUGGAGGAGGACAGACAACAACGGAACUUUCCCCAUUGGACAACCGCAUAGCCUGCAUCAUCGGAGACACGGCUCUGUCCGGGAUUACUAAGGACGGUGACACUGAUGCUCUUGCGACAGAACAAACCGGGCCAUCUAACACCCAAAGUGAAGCGACACCCGUUGUGCCUGAGGAGCUUGAGGAGCCGGGCCCAUCCAUUGCCCCUUCCAUGCGCCGUGCGCCAAGAGUGCUGAGUGAGGCGGUGCUACAAAAUCAAGAGGAAACAACAAAAUCCAUUAAUGACCUAAAGGAUCAACUGAGCAACAUAACGAAUGUAUUGAUUCAAAUCAACGAGUCUCUGAAACAGAUUGCCUCUUGCGCAAAUACAAUUGCUAAUAAACCAUAAACCGCUGACUAAUGUGAUUUCAGUUAUUUGUUUCCACGAAGCUGCAAAACACAAAAUGAAAUCGCUGUAAUGUUUCUGCACUCGACCAAUGGCCAGACUUACCUAAAAUGUCUGUAUGAUCCUCUGUCUUGUCUGAAUGCCAGCGGCAUUAGGAGGUGGCAGGGGCACUGCAUCGGGCAUAGGGCCGUCUGGUCUUGGGGGUUCCUGCAGAGGGAUGCCCUGUCUGAUGGCCAAGUUGUGUAGCACACUGCAAGCCAUGAUGAUUUUGCAUGCUUUUUCUGGCUGAUACUGCAGUGUCCCUCCCGUGCUUGACAGACACAGCCAUCGUCCUUUCAGCAGGCCUA
Cyprinus carpio (common carp) is the source of this 1142-nucleotide long non-coding RNA. The record is from Ensembl. Lineage: Eukaryota; Metazoa; Chordata; Actinopteri; Cypriniformes; Cyprinidae.